Molecule: unclassified non-coding RNA, 203 nt
Filed under: Hevea brasiliensis (rubber tree)
Lineage: Eukaryota; Viridiplantae; Streptophyta; Magnoliopsida; Malpighiales; Euphorbiaceae
Source: RNAcentral
UUAGGUCUUCUUUUGCUGCCAAUCGAGAGCUGUUCUAAAAGGAGCUACAAAAAGACACUGUUUUUGUAAUAAAGAUUCAUAAUUUCUGCUUCUAUGGAGGCUUACAAGAGAUGGGUUCGAAGGAAUCGUGAUUAUGUCCGCCAAUUGAGUUCUCUAGCCAGUGGAAUGACAUGGCUUCUUCCAGAGCGGUUUGCUACAUCAGA